CCCGGGUUUCGUCUCUGCUUGAGUCUCCUCCGUGCUGCUCAGAAUGGUGCUUUUCCCAGUUAGAUACAGAGUUGCCUCAAAGGCCAAGCAAUGAGGGAGCCAUCCUCUUUUGCUUUAUUUUCUAAGAUGCAGGGAGCAUCUCUCUGUGCUUUGAGAUGCUGCCUGCAGAGUGGGAAUGGUGGAAGAUGCCUCAGACACCUUCUCAGCAAAGAGUCGCAAACUCCCUACGUGGAGUGGGAGGAGGGUGUGUGAGCCCCCUCUGUCCUCGGGAAGGGGGCUGCCCACAGGUCUCUUCAGGAACUAUGGAUAUCUUCUCAGUUUCUGGCCAGGUCAUUUGUGUUUGAGUUGGAGCAUCAUUGGCUGAAAAUCAUCACGCUUCAUAAAGGUCGCCAGGCAUCCUGAACCACCCAGAUGAUGCAGGAUGGAGGUGCCAGAACUCACUCGCGCUUUCUCACCUGCCGGGGGCCAGCCGGCUCUGGCUCCUAGACACCCAGGAGCCCCAGGUGGGCAGGUCUCAUCUCACCUGACCCUGGGCCCUGUCAUUCUGCCACCGGAGCAGGGUCUGGCCCCUACCGUGUUCCUGAAGGCCCUGCCCAUCCCAUUGUACCACACAGUGCCUCCGGGGGGCCUCCAGCCACGUGCCCCCCCUGUGACACACAGCCUCGACGGGGGCAGCAUACCCUUUAUUCUCAGCCCCCUGCUGCGGCCUGAAGGACCCGGCCCUACCCAGGCAGGGAAGCCAGUGGCCCCGGCACUCACCGUGAACAUUGUGGGCACUCUGCCUGUCCUGUCGCCAGGCCUGGGGCCCACUCUGGGGAGCCCGGGCAAGGUACGGAAUGCCGGCAAGUACCUUUGCCCACACUGUGGCCGGGAUUGCCUGAAGCCCAGUGUUUUGGAGAAGCACAUCAGGUCCCACACGGGUGAGAGGCCCUUUCCAUGUGCUACCUGUGGCAUCGCCUUUAAGACCCAGAGCAACCUGUAUAAGCAUAGACGCACCCAGACCCACCUCAACCACUCUCGGCUGUCCUCGGAGUCUGAUGGCGGUGGGGGCAGCCUCCUGGAGGAGGGGGACAAGGCUGGGGAGAGCUCCGGAGCAGAUGGCAGGGGGGACAGCAGCAGCCCGAGGGUGGGCGGUGGGGCCCGAUCGGAGAGACCCCUUUCUGUAGGCGCCCAGGGUGCUGGGCACUGCCCAGCGCCUGCCAUGCCCCUGUCUUCUGUUGCCAAGACCCUGGGUCUGAAGUUGGAAGCUGUUCCCUGUCCAGGGUCCACAUUUGCUGACAGAGAGACCCCCGUGGACUCUGCCCACACGGCCUCCCCUGGGCCUGCCCUGGCUGGCUCCCAGCCGAGGUGGAAGCUGCCAGAGCAGACGUCCCCGACUGCCAGCCGGCUGUGCUCCCUGCAGCAGCAGCAAGUGGUCACGUCCUCGGAGAAGCCCUGGGACGCCAAGGCCUUGGAGGGCCGGCUGCGGAAGUGUGAGAGCACUGACUCGGGCUACCUGUCCCGCUCGGACAGCGCAGAGCAGCCGCCGGCCCCUGGCAGCCCCCUGCAUAGCCUGUCGGGGCACAGUGCUGAGUCUGAGGUGGAGGUGGCCCUGGGGCCUGGGGGGCCCAGCCUGCAGCUGGAGAAGAAGCAGCUGGAGGAGCGCAUCGCCUGGCUCAUCUCCCACAAUCAGGCUGUGGUGGACGAUUCCCAGCUGGACAAUGUGCGGCCCCGCAAGACGGUCCUGUGUAAGCAAGGCAGCAUCGACCUGCCCAUGCCCUACACCUACAAGGACUCCUUCCACUUUGACAUCCGGGCGCUGCAGCCAGGCCGGAGGAAACCCGCUGCCCUCAGCUCGGCCCGUUCCACCUUCAUCCUCCCGGACAAGGCACAGCCACUCUUCUUUCACUCUGUCCCCACUCAGCUCUCCACCACUGUGGCAUGUGUGCCCAUCACCAGGAGCAACUCACUGCCCCUUGUCGAGGGCACCAGGACAUGGCAGGAGCCCCCGGGCCCCCAGGACGCCUGCCCCAGGAGGCAGAAGCCUCUAAGCCCCAGGCCUGCCCCCGCCCAACUGGUGAAUGUUCCCAGCGGCCACCCCCGGGCCCUGGUCAGACAGGCUGCCGUGGAGGACCUGCCAUGCCCCCCCACUGGAGACAGUCUGGUGCCCGCAGAGGACUCGGAUAGAAACAGAGCUGCUGCUGGGGUGGGGGCAGCCAGCAAGGGCAGAGCAGGCAGUAAGAAGUGCAGCCAGAGGAAGCUGAAGAUGUUCUCCCAGGACAAGUGGCAGGUGUAUGGGAAUGAGACAUUCAAGAGAAUCUACCAGAAAAUGAAAACCAGUUGCCAUGGAGGGAAGAAGGCAAGGGAGAUGACCCUGGGUAGUGGGACAGAGCUGGCCCUUCCUCUCCAGGAAGAGUUAGCAGGGAAUGAGGGCACAGUCCCAUUCCAGGACAGGAGGACCCCUGUCCAUGGGGACGCAGCUGUGGGGGCCAAGCCAGGGCCUUGCCAAAGUCCACUGGCCCCGGAGGGCUUCUUGGUGAUGGAGUCCCCCAAGCAGAGGGAGAUGGUGGCCAGAGCAGGAGGCAGUGAACAGCCUAGGGUGAACAGGGCCACCUCGCCCCCCACCCUCAGCUGCAGAGAACCCCCCUGCUUGGGCAGCAAGAGCCCCCUGCUUUCUCCAAAUGGGAGGCUGGAGCUGGGGUGUCAGCUGCCUCCAGCACCUGGUCCCCUCAGGGGAGGUGACUUAGAGGCUCCCAAGCUGAUUUUGCCAGACCCUAAGAUGGAAGAAGGCACCAGUGGUGGUGGGGACAAGAAGGAGACCUGUCAGUGGACCCAAACUGUGCCAAGGCGGCCCAGUGGUAGCUCUGGGGAGCCCCAGCCCUCAGAGGACAAGCUCCCCUCAGAGAGGAAGAAGCUGAAGGUGGAGAAGCUGAGCUGCCAGGAGCAAUCAGAGCCUCUGGGAACAGAAAGAGAGGCCCCAGGUGGCCCCGUGCAGGCCACGUCCCCACCAUCUCAGAACCAGGACUGUGACCCUGGGGAUAAGCCAGGGGAGCUGCAUGGGAGUGCUGAUGGCAUGGCCAGGGGCAGGGCUGGGCAGCCGAGCAGGCCCUUGGAGCUUUCUGGCGCCCCCUCUGCUGCUCCUUCUGUGGCCCCGAGGCAGGUGGGGCUGAGGGAAGAGAUCUUGCCAUGUCCUAGAGCUGCGUCCCUUGGGCAUCAGUCCCACCUGGCCACUCAGGCUCCUGGUGUCCUCGCUGCCCUGGCAGACACUGCCUUCCCCCCCAAGUACCUCCUCAGGUUGCCUCAGGAAGAGACCCACCCACCACCUCCCGUCGCCCUGGGGCCGGGACAAGGCCAGGACCCUGUCUGCAGGAGAAGGUGGCCCGAGCAACAGGCAUCCUUUGUCGGGUCAGGGCUGGGGACCCUCUUGCCUCCCUGCCCGGCUUCAGGCUUGGCCCCCACUGGGGCAGACAGCUUCCAGGAGGACCCCAGCUGCUCUAGGCCAUGGGGCAGGAGAAAAAGGGUGCAGGGAGAGGAGAAAGGAUACUUGGACACUGGCACCCCAGCAGCGGGGCAGUCCCAUGGCUCAUCCAACAGCAGCCCCAGGGAGACAGCUUCUUUCUUGCCCACCCCAACGUGUGCCACCUGGAAGAGUGGGCCCCCUGACACCCGACACCUCUGCGCGGGCAGCACUGUGGUGGGGGCCAAGCUGUCUGGGGGUGUCCUGAGUCCCUGCGCACUUAGCAGGGAGUUGGGACCUCCUGAGAAUGCCCCGGAAGACCCUCCCUCGGGGCCUCUGGCUGGGCUCAGUUCCUGCCACUCCUUCCUCACAGCCCCCACGCCCCCCAGCUGGCCAGAGCUGGCCUUGUGUACCCACUCAGAGACCCUGUGGAGCUUCAGGGCCCACGGCCCUUUCCCGUCAUUGAGGGCUGAGCCCCGACUCACAUGGUGUUGCUUGAGCCGAAGCCUGCCUCUGCCCACAGAGCAGAAGGAAAAGGCUGCUUCUGUGUACCUGGCACUGCACUUCCUUGGUGGCAGCGCGCAGGACAAGGGUCCAGACGCCCGGCCCGUGAGCAGGGCAGUGGUGGGAGGAUGGACGAAGACAGGCCUGGGAGAAGGAGGGCAGGUCCAGACAUCAAAGCUCUCCUGCCCAGUGGCCUCAGGGAUGGUGUCCCAGCCUGAAUGGAAGAAAGGACCGCCGUGGAGGAAGGUGAAGAUGUUCCGGGGGAGUGGCAAACAGAAGCUGAGCAUCCGCUCCAGAAGGUACAAAGGGAGUUUCUUACAGAGCCGUGUCCAGCCGAAAGGGGGUGGACCGCGCAGGCCUCCCAGAGUGCUGAGAAAAGACCGCCACCUACCCCCACUCGAGGGGCUGGGCCCACGCGGGACCUGCAGGCAGCCUUCUUCAGAAAUGGCAGGUCUGAAUCUGCAAGAGGAACCAUCUCGUGCCUCUUCAGAAUCACCUGUUGGUUGUGGGCACAGAGAGAAGGAGGAGGAGGGCUCCAGACAAACUUCGGGAAGCUUCUCUCCCAGCACAAGUUCAAGGGCCAGGAGUGGAAUAGACCCCGUAAUCAUGAAGGUAAUUUCUCCAGCUGCCGGUGGCUGCAGUGACUGCCACCAUCAGAACACUGCUGCUGGGUCAGGACAGUCUGAGCGCCCCGGCUCCUGCGUGGCUGUGGGUACCGACAGGCUUCUGUCUCCAGGCAGAAGUCUCAGCCUGGGAUUGCUGGAGACCCGGCCGCUGCCCUCCCAGGAGCAAGUCUCAGUAGAUAUGAAACCAUACAUUUCCUCCGAUGCUCAGGAGCCUUCUUCCUUUGAGUCCAAAGGAACCUCUCCCUGCCAGGAUGUUGCUCCUUCUGUGGCUGCCAUUUGUGCUCUGGGGGAGAGAGCAGGUCACACAACCCUGGGAAUUCACAGUGCGGAGCCGCAAGCCCAAAGAGCUGCAGGGGAGGCUCUGACACAAAGCUCCUCAGACAGAAAAGCUAAAGCGGAGGGCAUGUCACCACCAGUCCUGCCAGGGAGACCUUCAUCUGAGCAAAGAAUUUCAGGUUUGGUUUUGUUGGAGUCAACUGGAAAAACUCGUCUUGAAAUACCAGCAUCAGGAGCAGGCUCAGCUAGUUCAUACCAAGAGGAAGGGGAGCACAAGAUGUUUUCUCCUACUGGGGUACAGGAGGGGCGUGGAGAGAUGGUAGUCCCUUGCCCUCCUUUAGGAAAUGAAAGUGGGAAAUGUCGAGGCUCUGGAUUAACUGCUCUAAAAGAUCGUGUGGUUCCUUUUAACCCAGGGCAGCCCAGAGAAUCCCCUGAAUCCCCUUCAAAAACUGUCAAAAGGAGGGGUCUGGAAGGACUGAGAAAGCAGACCCGAGUGGAGGUCAGUGACACCAGCAGUGACGAUGAAGACCGGUUAGUGAUAGAGAUGUGACGCUUCUGAGCCUGCGGUUGGAGACCAGAUGCUGUCAGACAGGCAGACAGUUGAACUCUCUUUCACCAAGCACCUACCUAUGAGGAAAGCCAUCUGGGGAUCUUUCCAAGGCAUCCCCAGCGAACUCUAGCCCCCUAUUCCCCAGAUGCCCUUGUGGUAUACCAGGUGCCAGGCAGGCAAAGGCAGCAACGGAGCCCAGUCUAAGAAUGCUUGGCGCACAAUGACUACACUCACCUCCCAACCAUGUCUUCUACAUCGGCCCCCACUGCCUCCUCCGUACGUUGGCAUUAACCAGGAUAGCCGCAGUCGACAUAUUUAUGUGCAAGUGAACCGGUAGAGUCAAGUCGACCGACUUCCUCCAUUAGUAAGCUGAGGGUUUGCUUCAAAGGUGAACUCAUUAAAUAUAGGUGUCAGGACCCAGAGAAUCUUGUGUGCUAGAUUUGCACCUGUACAGUUCUCUUCACCCAUGCUUUUGUACUUAUGUGGGCACAUAAUUCGAUGUGAAGAAGUCUAGGAACAUUUGAGCGUAUUGCUUCACCAUUGGAAGAAAAGGAGCCAGGAAAAUAAUCCAUCUCUGUCCCUUGGAGCCCUAGAGGAUGACUCAACAUCUCCUAUAUGCAGCCCACCGUUCAGAACUUACUACUCUCUUGAUUGUUCAUGAUCAGGAAAGCUAUUGGCCUCUUGGUUGUUUGUUGAAAUUUAUCUCCUUCUUUAUAUGGUUAAAUUAUUUUGUUUUGAUAAAAAUAAAACUGAAAAAAAUGUUUUGUGUGAUUUGUUAACAUUUUAACUAAAACUAUCGCAGGCAGUAUCCUGUAUGAAUACGAUACCUGAUCAUUCCCAAGUAGUGAACCAGACAUCCUGUCCGCCAUAUUGGUAUCCCAUUCCACUCAACAGAAAGAUUGGGUAAUGGCAAAUUAGCACAUUUUCUUGUGCUGUUUCCGUUUCCCAUGUGUCUCAUUUGUCAUUGUCUGCCAUAUUUUAGACUUCUUAACUAAAAAAUGUGUUUUUAAAUUCUUAAAUGUAGCUAAGUUUUGAAGCCACAUGAGGGCACUAUCCACAGUGCAAUAAUCUAAAACUUUUCCCCUUAGAAUUGAUGUCUCUUGGGUAUUUAAUAUUAUUCAUCAACAGAAAAAACAUUCUUAAUUCAAAACAGUGCCUCCUUAUGAAGAUAGUUCAUGUAUUCUUUGCAAGAAUAAGUAGAGUUCUUUUACAUACCAAUACAAUACUAGUCUUCUACAUCUACACCUCUUGAAGGCACUUGAAGUCAAUGGAGACACAAUGCAUCGGGAGAAAAAGUUCAAGUGGAAAAACAUAAGGCACAGAUGUACUUACUGAUGGGUCUGAGAUGUGUUUUUGCUAACUCGUCAAACUCUAAUAGUAAUAAAUUAACCCAUUAUUUCCAAACUUCAGUCAUUUGAAAAUCAUCCUAAUGCUUUUUGCCAUAUAUGUCCACAUAUGGGUGUAUUAUUUACUUAAUACUUCUGUUUAACUCAUCCUGUUUUCCA
This is an RNA transcript of Callorhinus ursinus (northern fur seal), 6897 nucleotides long. It is a transcript of the gene named zinc finger protein 831, with no coding region annotated. Lineage: Eukaryota; Metazoa; Chordata; Mammalia; Carnivora; Otariidae. The record is from RefSeq and is a predicted model, not a curated record.